CCUACGGGAGGCAGCAGUGGGGAAUUUUCCGCAAUGGGCGAAAGCCUGACGGAGCAACGCCGCGUGAGGGAUGAAGGCCUCUGGGCUGUAAACCUCUUUUAUCAAGGAAGAAGAUCUGACGGUACUUGAUGAAUAAGCCACGGCUAAUUCCGUGCCAGCAGCCGCGGUAAUACGGGAGUGGCAAGCGUUAUCCGGAAUUAUUGGGCGUAAAGCGUCCGCAGGCGGCCCUUCAAGUCUGCUGUUAAAAAGUGGAGCUUAACUCCAUCAUGGCAGUGGAAACUGUUGGGCUUGGGUGUGGUAGGGGCAGAGGGAAUUCCCGGUGUAGCGGUGAAAUGCGUAGAUAUCGGGAAGAACACCAGUGGCGAAGGCGCUCUGCUGGGCCAUCACUGACGCUCAUGGACGAAAGCCAGGGGAGCGAAAGGGAUUAGAUACCCCUGUAGUCCUGGCCGUAAACGAUGAACACUAGGUGUCGGGGGAAUCGACCCCCUCGGUGUCGUAGCCAACGCGUUAAGUGUUCCGCCUGGGGGGUACGCACGCAAGUGUGAAACUCAAAGGAAUUGACGG
Molecule: ribosomal RNA, 564 nt
Filed under: uncultured bacterium
Lineage: Bacteria
Description: bacterial SSU rRNA
Rfam family: Bacterial small subunit ribosomal RNA
Source: RNAcentral